This 2488-nucleotide long non-coding RNA is filed under the name Sinocyclocheilus grahami. RNAcentral describes it as "lncRNA (ENSSGRG00000002339.1)". The record is from RNAcentral. Lineage: Eukaryota; Metazoa; Chordata; Actinopteri; Cypriniformes; Cyprinidae.
GAAGCUUGAAAGCUUCAUGUGAGUUAAAUUAAAUUGCAUGGACAAGAUAUAUAAAAAAAAAAAAAUCAAUAGAUAAAAAAACGUCUGAUGUAAAAUUUAGCAGCGGCCACCAGUGAAGAGAACACGGGCAUCAUCCAGUGAUCGAGAUGGAGAGGAGAGUGGAUCUCCCUCAGAACCCGAACCAUCACCCAGCUCGGACUCUGACUCCGGCAAAAACAGCGACCAGGACUUCACGCCACAGAAGGAGUCGGGUGGUCGCGGUGGCAAAAAGCCAGCAGGCAGAGGCAGCAGAAAGGUGAGACAACCUCAUUGACCUCAUGUGGCCAUCUAUAAUUACAUACUUGCUUGAUCUUAUACCAUUUUUUUUGUAUCAUUUUAGAAGGCAUCAUCUGGCUCCGAUUCAGAAUCGGGCUCCCAGUCAGAUCAGGGGGCCGCCAGGAGCAAUUCAGAAGAAGAGAAGCCCCGGCCGGCCGUCUCUGGAUCCGAAUCGCAGUCUGGAUCCAAAUCCGACUCUGAUUCAGAACCUCCUCCUCCUCCUCCUGCAAGGAAAGGCCCACAAGGGCGCAAGAAAGCGGAGAAACCUCCACCAAAGUCACGAGGAAGGAAAACCAAACCAGCUCCAGAAAGGGCUCCUUCCUCUUCAUCAGACAGCGACAGUGACAGCGAGACGGACCGCGUCAGCGAGUGGAAGAAGAGAGACGAGGAGCGGCGGAAGGAACUGGAGGAGCGAAGGAAGAAAGAAGAGGCUGAAGAGCUCCGUCGGCUCCGGGAGCGAGAGAAAGAGGAGGAUGAGAAAAGGAAAAAGGAGAAAGAGAACAAGGCCAGGAGAGGAAGCAGCAGUGGCAGCAGCUCGGACAAUGAAGUGGAUGAUCACCCUCUCAAAAAAUCCAAGAAACCUCCGCCUCCCCCCAUCCCCGCACCGUCAGACUCCGACUCGCCACCAGCUGCAGAGGGGAAGAAAUCCGCCAAACGUCACGACAGCCAGAAAAGGCGGCAAAAGAAAGAGAAGGAGCUGAAAGAGAAAAAAGAGAGGAAGAUCAAAGAAAGGAAGCCUCAGAGAUCAGAGGAGAAACGCAAAACGAGAAGGCCUAAGCCAGAGAAGCCUAAACGGAAGCCAACACGUCCACCUGAGAAGAAAGUCGAGAAGAAAAAAGAACCCUCACCUGAAGAGAAACUACAGAAGCUCCACACAGACAUCAAGUUUGCACUGAAAGUUGACAACCCAGACAUUGAGAAGUGUCUGCAGGCCCUGGACGAGCUCAGCUCAGUACAAGUAACCACUCAAAUCUUGCAGAAGAAUACAGAUGUUAUUGCCACACUCAAAAAGAUUCGCCGAUACAAAGCAAGCAGUGCUGUUAUGGAGAAGGCCACUGCAGUCUACAAUAAACUAAAGCUGCAGUUCAUUGGCAAGAUUGAGACCAGUAAACCAAAACCAGAUGAAAAGAACCAAGAAACCAACGAGCAAGACACACAAAACGCAGACGACUCCAAACCAGUGAAUGGAGAGUCAGAAAAUGAGAAAAAAGAUGUUUCUGAAUCGGAAAGCAACCCCAAACCCACAGACCAAGAGAAACCGGAUGAGAACAAAUCCCCGAACGGCAUCAGUCCCAAUCCAGAUGAGCCAACAGAGCAGCAAACACUCACAGCUGACUCCACAGACGCCGAUCCGGCAGAAGACACGGACGUAAAAGAGGACAGCAGAGCGCAGGACGAGCAGAUGUCUUCCGAGAGCUGAACGUUUCACAAACACACUUUGGCCUCCUUCGUUCAUUUGUGUUACUUCUUGUCUGCCCACCUUUGUGACCUACAUGAGUUUUUCGUGUUGUACAUAAAACGUGAUAUGAACAUUAUUAGCACUUUUGAAUCGGGACGUCAUGAGGCAAAACAAGCGCCUUAAUCUAAAUGUUCGAUGUGGAUGAUUCUGCACUACCCACGUUUGGUCAAUCGAGGACGAACGUUUUAUUUCAGAACCACGCUGACGUCUAGUAGGAAAAACACCGAAGCCCUUCAAAUAUAUUUGAGGACUGUGCUUGUAUUAUGUAGCCGCUUUUUAUGAGUAAAACCUUUUUUCCUUUAGUUUUUUUUUUUAUAUGAAAAAAAUAAGGAAAAUGCUAAAAAAAAAGUAAAAGAAAGCAGUCUGGUUUUGUGUUGAUUGACCCACUACGCCAUACAGGAAGAGAUCAUGAGGUUUCGUUGUCAUUAUUACUGCACAAAUCUACAUCUGAUCUGUCUGGUAUGGAUUUCCAUAACCUUCAGUGUCUAUGGACUUUCACUAAACUCUGUAGACCGCUUGUUGUCCGUUGUUUGGUAUUCUAAUAAUAACAACUUACAUCUGCAUAGGUUGACCCAAUAAUGCUAUUCUUUUCUUGGAUGUCAUAAACUAUGCGUAUCAUUCUUAUUAUAAACAUGUUUCUAGUGCUAUGUAACUUGGUCGGAGAUUUUUUUUAGUAUCCGUGAAGGAAUAAAUAAAAAUUCCGCAUGAUGGCCA